GGUGGAAUGGCCGAGUCGUUAAGGCGUAUGAUUUAGGACUUUAUGUUAAAUCUCAUAUGGUAAUACCGCGUGGGUUCAAAUCCCACUUCCAUCA
Molecule: transfer RNA, 94 nt
Filed under: Serendipita indica DSM 11827
Lineage: Eukaryota; Fungi; Basidiomycota; Agaricomycetes; Sebacinales; Serendipitaceae
Description: Piriformospora indica DSM 11827 tRNA
Rfam family: tRNA
About the family: Transfer RNA (tRNA) molecules are approximately 80 nucleotides in length. Their secondary structure includes four short double-helical elements and three loops (D, anti-codon, and T loops).
Source: Rfam by way of RNAcentral